ACUGCUUAACUGCUACAUCACAACUGUAACAAAAUAGUUUAAUGAAUCUAAGCUAACUGGUUUCGUCAUUUGAUUUUCAGCUGUUUAUAACAAGGAAGAUGAUAUUGGAACCUAUACUAUCAAAGCGGUUGAUGAUCCCAGAACCUUGAACAAAAUCCUUUACAUUAAACCCCCUGGUAAUAUUUACUCAUUCAAUGAUCUUGUGUCCUUGUGGGAGAGAAAGAUUGGCAAAACCCUCGAAAGGGUGUACGUUCCGGAGGAGCAAGUCCUAAAGAAUAUUCAAGGUUAGCUAGAAUUCUUACUUUUUAAAUUUUAUCAAAGAGAGCAAUAAAUUUUGUGCCUUAUUAGUACUGCCUUCUCCGAAACGUUGCAGAAGCUGCACCUCCAGUCAAUGUGAUAUUAUCAAUUCAGCACUCUGCUUUCGUGAAGGGAGAUCAAACCAAAUUCCAGAUUGAACCAUCGUUUGGAGUUGAAGCCUCGCAGCUUUAUCCUCAAGUCAAGUACACUACAGUUGAUGAGUAUCUCAGUCAGUUUGUGUAACCCUUCUCUGUUGAGCUGCAGCUUGCAGGAUCUUGGGAAAUAAAUAAUUGGCUUGUUGCCAUCUUUGGUUUCUAUAUGUAAGCAUUAUGGUUGUUGGCCUUACUUUCGUUUGGUUCUCAAUGGAAUUUGUAACACGAUAUUAUGUCCGCUAUGUCAGUACACAGUGAUUAAAUAAAGUAGCUCCAUGUGCUUAAUCUAAAAAUAAUUAUAAAGUCACAAGCACCUAAAAGUUAAACAACAAUGAUAUGCUUACAACAAUGUGUACGACAUCUAAUACAACAAGGAUCAUUUUGCAAAAUAUGUUAAAUUUUAUUAAUUUCUUUGCUGCCCAAAGAUUUUUAUAUUCAUCUUAGGGACCUAUAAUCUUAAUGAAUCAUCUCUUCUUCCAUUUCUCCUACAUCUAUCCUUAAAGCCUUUUAAAGUUUUAACUAUUAUUUUAUAAACUUUUAAAUGAUUAUCAAACUUAUAUAGAUCUAUAAAUUCUAGAUGAGAUCCUAUAUUUAUGAUCAUUUACCUCUUUUGUAACAUGGACCAAAUUUUUUCUUUUAACAUUUCUAUACACACACACACACAUCUAUUUUUCCAACUAAGGAUUAUGUCAUCAAGGCUUUCACAGAGAGGUUGCAAUCUAAAUUUAGCUUCUUGAAUGAACAUAUUCAUAUUAUCAUUAUUAUUAUUCAUUAGUUAUGGUCGGUUUUGAGUUCUAUUAUUAGUUCUGCACCUAUCUUGUAUUAUUUCAAGACUAGACAAAAUUGAUUCCAUUAAUGCUAUCCUAUUUUCCUCUUCAAAGGAAUCAAAUACUUCUUGGUCGUUAUGGAUGUUAAUUCUUUUCAUUUCUUUGGACAAGCGCUUGCUUGCAUUCGAUCUGAUUUUAACAAUAGAAAUUGUAUAAACAACUUGAUAUUCUUAACUGAAAUAUAAAUUAUCAAUUGAAUCUAAAAACUUGUUAACAGAUGUUUCCAUUUUUUUGAAUUUGAGUUAAUCUUAUCACUUUUUUUCUUAUAAAAUCUCAAAAAACAAACAAGACCCAAUAUACUUCCGUUUGUUGCUAAAAUAAAAAAAAAGGUUCAAAAUUACUAUCUCUCGGAAUUCUAAGAUAGAUUCACUAAUUGCCUCCAACCAUAGAGAGGUCCAUAGUCAGCACUGCUAUAAGUCCACACAUCAUGUAAGAUCAACUUAGCAACUAUUCUACACGGCCUAAUGCAACACAUAGCAGUUUGGCCUUGUAAGAUAUGUCUAAGUGAAUUUCUUGCAAUUGUCUCUGGAAAAGUACUUAAUAACAAGAAAUCUUCCUCGUCUAACACAAGUAUUGGCCUGUAAGCUUCUUAGUUAAUUUCUAACAAAAUAUAUGAUAUCAGGAAGAUGAUAAUUUCACUUAAAAGAGUUUUUUAUUUAUUUUAUAACUAGAAAUGUUUGCAAAGGAAAGUCAUAGAGAAUACAAAUGUGGGUGAAGGUUUAGACAUAUGAUGUCCUCCAUUUCUUACAUGUUUCGAUUUAUAAGCUUGAAGAGAUAAUAUUAUCUCCUCUUACAUGACACUUGUUAAAUUUUUCUAGUGGAUUGUGGAUUCCUUUAUGAUAAGGUGACCCCUAUCUUCUUCUAUCAUUAAAGACAUAUGUUGUCAUCUUUUUCUUAUUGACUAGCAGCCUUCACAUGGUUAUGAUAAGCUUUAUCUUUUUGGAAUCUUUUCUUAUCUUUUCACAUGCCAAUUAUCAGUUCUUCAUCUAGCGGCAUGUCUUCCCCAUUAGAUUCCCAUUUUGAUCCUUUGUAGCAAUAACCAUAUGAUGACUGAUGAUUUAGCACCUUGCAUACCUCGUGGUGUGUUAGCAAGCUAGAUUCCACGAGAUUUUCAUAGAUUGCAUUUUUCUGUUUUAGUAUUGCCUAUUGUUGGAUAUAAAUUCAAUUGUUAGUGGUGUCAAUGUGCAAGUGUACACAACAAGUAGUAAAGUGAUGAGUAAUCAAGAUCGUAUCCAUAGGGAUUGAUGUUAUUAGACUUACUACAACAAUCUUAACAGUGCAGAUUUUUUUUCUAAAUUAAAAUAAAUAAUUGAUGAAACUAAUGUACUAAUUAAAAUAAAAACACAAUAAAUAAAAUGCAAUAAAGUAGAUUAUCACGUCAAAUUCAAGGAUAAAACCAAUGGGAAUAUAGAAUAGUUUAGUGAAUAAACUCUCUUAAUGGUCUUGACUAUUUUCUAAUGUUUGGCUCGGUUGUUGCAGCAUCUGCUAUAGCACUGGGAAGAAUCCUUAUGUAUCCUCAGCUGUCGCAUGUUGGAUGUCUUAUAUCUAUAUGCAACUUAAUAGUGAUCAAUUGUUAUGCCAACAUAAGAUAUAGCAUUACACGUUUAGGUUUUAAUUACCCUACAAGAUUGAUUAACACUAAAAAGUGUACGUGUAAUAAGGAUAAAAUUAUUAGUUUUUCACUUAAAGUGUUGAUUAAUGCACGCAUAACUUAUAAAUUAUAUGAAUGCACCCCAAAUAAAUUUUUGUGUUAAAUUAAUUCGCAAUAUGUUAAUUUUUAUCUUAUAAAUAUUUUUCAGGAAUAAAUUAGAAUUGAAAGCGGGAACAAAGAAGGACUGCUGGAGCAAUUUGGAAGCAUUAUUGAGGAGAUGUAAAUAAAGAAAAAAAUAAAAAAUAAAAAAUAAAAAAUAAAAAAUAAAAUAUAAAAAAGAAAAUGAAUAAAAAAAAUAAAAAAAGAACAAAAACCAAGCAAUUUAGUUUCUCAUGAUGGCCACUUGACCAUUACACAUUUCAAUGUACACAUAUAAUAAUAAUAAUAAUAAUAAUAAUAAUAAUAAUAAUAAUAAUAAUAAAAUAAAUAAAGAUAAUGCAUUCCUUGCCUAUAAAAGGCAAGGAAAAGCAGAGAGCUGGGCAUUGAGAAGUUAGAGAACUGAGUAGAGACAGCUUAAGCCGAAAGAGAAUAGAGUGCAGCUGAGGAAUUGUGUCUUUUUCUUCUUUUGUUGUAAUCAACUUUCUUGUAACGUAUUUCCAAAGUUUAUCAAAUAAAUAGAGUGUUGUAUUUUCUUUCAGUAUGAAUGACUAAUUUUAUUAAGCUGAGGUGAAGAGUGAAGCUCAAUAUUUCAAACUAUUAAAUUUAUUAUUUUCUCAAAUGAGUUUUAAAGUUUAUUUUGUUCUUUUCUAGUUAUUUUUAUGUCAUGUUAAUUUAGAAAUUUCUUUAGGAUUUGUAUAGUAUUUUGACACAAUGUCGACACAUUAAUAUAGUGUGGCAUAUUAGGUACUUUAUUCCAUAUUUAUCCACACACAUAGAAUUAAAUGAUAUAAUAAUUAACUGGUAAAAGUGAGGUAAAAUAUAAAUGCGAGAGUAUUAAAAUUAUAGUUUGAAUACUGAGAGUGGAUAUUGUAACCUUAGUAUAUUUUUAAAUUGUUUUCAAAUAAUUUAUUUUCCCACAAUUAAUUUUCUUUGUUUAAUAAAUUGACAACUAGAUUUUAAAAUUUCCUAUGGUUCGACCCCGGACUCACGGGUUAUAUUAUAAUUAGACACUCUUAUACUUGGGAGUAAUACACUUUUAAGUUGUGUCAAAGGUGAAUCUCUAUGUCUAGUUCAUCACUAAUUUUAGAUUAAGCAUGACCCUUUUGGGAUUAAAUAAAACUCAAUCCAAGAAACCCAAUCUAAUACCAAGUAUUGCUAUGAUAUGCUUCACUAAGAUAAGCCCUUGUGUGGCUCUUUUUUAGCUAGUAUCAUUAAAUGGGUGAUCAACCGAAAUAAAUAAAAAUAAAUAUUAUCAAAAUAAAAUAUUACAGCAAACAUGCAGCAACUCAUAUAUUCAGUCAAUAAACCAUCAAAAUUGCUUAUCACUCAACCACAAAUAAAUCUAGUUCACGGUUUGAAAAAGAAAAAUAAAGAACAAAGUUUUAGCCAUCAAACACAUUCCCAUGAAUAAAAAGUAAACAUGAAAAUAAGAGAAGAAUAAAAAGGACUGAGUUCCCGCUUGAUUUCUACAAAUUCUCCUCUUGUGCAGCCCUUAAUCUCUCUCUUAAAUUUUUUUUUCUUUUGUUUCUUUGUGGUUUUUCUCCUUGGGUGACAGCUCUUUCUUUUCAUUAUGAUGUGUGCUCCUUUUGUAGUUGAAAAUUAGGGUAAACAGAAGCAUAGGUCGUGCAUAAGUCAGAUUAGGAAAUUGCAAAUCACAAUAUUCUGUAAAAUUUUCUCUGUCAUCGUUCCAGAAUUGCUACAGCAACGAAUGUUAUGCUGCAGCAACGAUUGCUACAGUAAUUACUACAACAACUGCACUGUUCUAGAUUUAUUUCAAUUCUUCUGUAGUCAAGUUCUUUUUCAUCUUUUACAAGACUAUUACAACAACAUUCCUUUCUUGAAAUUUGAGCUUCCGGUCACCUACAAUUAUGCAUAUAAUUUAAGCACACAAUUUAUUCUAAAUCAAACAAAAUUUAUGAAGAAUAAACUAAGAUGAAUGAUUAUGCAAAAUAUAACUAAAAUGCAAUAAAAAAACAUGUUAUUUACUCUCAAAGUAAUCUUGAUUUAAGUCUAAAAGUGUCAUGAUAACUCUCAUUUUAUAAAGUUAUCACCUAUCUGGCUAAGAUACUUUCUUUUCUACUAAAAAAAAAGAUUAUAUGGUCCUUUGUGGCUUCAUGGAGCCAUAUUUUUUUCUUACUUAUCCUCUCGAGAAAUUCAUGGAGGACUUUCAUUUAAAUGAUCUCUUUGCUCGUGAGAGCUUUAGGCUCGAAUAGUUUGGGAUAAUAAUCAUUGUAGACCUGACCUACAUCAACAGUUGGACUAACUUUUUUACUACUAAUCCCAACUUAUAUCUAUGUGCUGCACUGGAUACCAUUUGUUAUUACAGUGUUCAGGGAAAGCAGUGAGAAUCUUGAAAAAAAUCAUAUCUCUUGUUUUAGAUAUUCUUUUGAGAUCACUGACAGCCUUUGUAAUUUUUUCGGGGAGCUUUUUUAAUUCCCUACAUAAACAAGGUUAAAAAAACUAUAUUCAAACAUUUCUUUUAUUAAUUUUGCAUCAGCUUCUGGACCAAAGUUAAUCCUUAGGUAAUAUCCUAAAUGAUUCGGUAUUAUAGCUUGGCUAGGACAAAUCCCAUAGGCUAUUUUACCAAUUAUUUUACAAUCAUAAGUGUAAUUGCUUCCUAGUGGAAUUUUAACCAUUAGAAUGGAUUGUUCGCUUUUAUCAUAUUGAGGCCUUAAGCUCACUGAAGAGGUUUAAGAUUCUUUUUUCUUUUGAGUUAUAUGAAGAACUCUAGGUAGUCUGCCCUUCAGUUUGAUCCUUGAAAUGGAUCUUUUUUAGCUUAUUACUAAUAUAUUGUUAUAAAGUCUGGACUUCUGGAUGAUUUUGCAAACUUUUGUCAGGGCAAAGUCAGCUCAAUUCUUCAUGGGCAGCAUUAAUCAUGACAAGCCCAUCAUAAAUCAUACUAUUGCCUUUGAGAAGCAAUUCUUGUCCUUUAGAGCACAUCAUUAUGCCCUUAAUUAUUUCGGAAAGACUCCUCUCCAUGUAUUCUCGGCUAAGAAAAUCUGCAAUACAAGGGUUAGGUCAUUUAAUAUAUUCAAUUCAAAAAUCAUAUUUAGUAAAGAACUGCCGCCAUCUAAUUAAUCUUUUAUAUUAAGGGAGAUUAGACAAUUUAUUAAAUAUAAAUCCUUUGACUCAAGUGUUAUUAGAUCUUACCUUGAAUUUCUUUGGUAGCAAAAAGAAAGUAAAUUUAGUUAUUCCAUUUUUAAAUAUAAAUGUUUCGCUGACAUAUCUGCAAAUCUUUUCUUGAUCUAUUUUUAAAACUGCACCCCAAUGAUUAUCUGAAGCAUUAGUUUCAAGAAUUAAAUUAUCACUAGUGGUAGGAAAUCCUAAUCUUGGUAGAUUUUUACAUUUUUCUUUUAAUCUUUUUCCCACUUUGGUAUAAAGAUCUUCCCAUGAUUUUAUAUUGUUCUUUUUUAAUAAUCCUUGUGAAAGUUGUUUUUCUUUAACUAAGUUUUAUAUGAAACCUUCAGCAUAAUUAAGGCAUCCUAAAUAUCUUUGAAUUUGUUCUUUAGAUUCUAAUUUAUCUAGGAAUAAAUAUAUAUUUUCAAAAAUAUGAGGUUGCAUCUCAAUACCUAUUUCAUCUAUUAUUAAUCCUAGAAAUUCUAUUCUAGGUUUCAUUAUUUCGGCUUUCUUUUUAGAAAGUAAUAUUCCAUGUUUCUUUCAUUUUUCUGUAAAAGAAACGAGAUGAUUAAUAUGAUCUAUCUCAUUAUCUAAAUAUAUUAGAAUAUCAUCCAUAUAAACAAUGCAAAAUUCAUGAAAUUCUUUGAAGAUUUUAUCCAUCCUUCUUUGAAAUAUUUGUGGUGCAUUUUUUAAUCUAAAAAGCAUCACAAUCCAUUUAUAUUGUCCUUAAGGUGUACUAAAGGCAGUAAGUGGUAAUACUCUCUUCUACAAGUUUGAUUUGCCAAAAUCCAUAUUUGCAAUCAAACUUGCUAAAUAUCUUUUUAUUAAUUACAAAGGUAAUUAAUAUAUUUUUAUGAGGUAAAAAGUAUCCAUCAAAUUUGGUAUAUUUAUUUAAUUAUUUGUAGUUAAUAACCAUACGAGCUUUUCCUCAUUUAAUCUCUACAUGAUUCCUAAUCAUAAAGAUUGUACUACUAUGAGGACUUUUAAAUUAUCGAAAAAUCUUAAGUUCUAAUCUCUUUAAUUUGUUUAUCAAUUUUUUGUCUAUCUUCUUGCCCAUAUCUCAUAGGCUUAACACAUAUAAUAACAUUUGGAUCUUUUAAUUCGAUCUUAUCAUAUGCUUUAUCAAUUUCCCAUAAUUGAAUGGGGUUUUCACCAAAAUUUUUAUCAAGUUUUUCUAAAUUUUUUUCAUAAUUUGAUAUGAUUUGAUUGAUUUUUAUAGCAUAAUUACCACGCUAGUUGUGUUGAAAAUGUAAUUUUUGAGUUGUUCACCUAACAGGGUUAUAAAUUCUUGGUGUAGUAACGGAAUGAUUACAUGAUGUUUUAAGAAUAAUUAUUUCGUUAGUCAUUGUAUAAAUGAACUGAUGAAGGAAAUUAAUUCCUAAAAGUAUAUCUACACAUAUAUGAUCAUAAGACCAUAAUAUAGGGAUACUUAGGAUAUAAUCUUCUAUUUGGAUUAAAGUCUUAAUCCUACAUGUCCUUAAGGUGAUCUAUUUAACAUUUAUUCCUUGUCCUGUUAAAGGCUUAUAAUCUUUCCAAUAUGAUUUUGGAUAAAACCUAGAAUUAGCUAAACUAACUCUUGAACCAGUAAUAAUUAAAGCAUGAAACCAUUCUCGCUUAUGCUUAUAGUAUGGUAUGAUCAUUUUUAUAUGAACUACAAAAAGAUUAGACAUAUCUUGAUAUGGUUUGCUUAAUCCCUUCAAUUGUUAUGCUUAUUUCUCUAUCUCUUAUGCAAUAAGGAGAGAAAUUUUCAAAAAAAAUUCAUCCCUAAUAAUAAAGGAUUUAUUUUUGUUUCAUAAUUUGAUUCUAUGAAAAAAAGAAAGAUAAAUUCUAUUCCUUUUAUUCUUAAUGGUAUUUCACACUACUGACUUAAUGUCUUUCUUUCUCCAUUAAAGCCUACAUAUGUAUGAGGUUCAAUUAGAAUCUUUCUUUCUAAAUAUUUAAUCAUUUUGGCAUCAGCAUAAGAUUUUACUACUCCUGUAUCAAGGAUAGCAAAAGUCUCAUGGCAUGAUUUUCUAUUAUUCUAUUCAAUCUUGAUUUUUAAGUUUUGAUUAUUUUUCUAACUGUGGCCGAUAUUUCAUGUGAUAGUGGUAUGACAAGAUGGUUACAUCUAGUAUAACUUUGGGUUCUACUUAAUUAUGGUUCUAUUUUGAGUAUAGAGAAUGAUCUUCUAUUUCCUAUGAUGAUUCUUCCUUCUAGAGUAUAUUCUAUGGGUUUAGUAGUAUUUCCCCUUAUCAGAGUAGGUUGACUACUUAGAUCCAUUUCCCAUUCUUCUGGUAAAUUUAUUUCUCUUAAAAUUUUAAGAGAUUGUGUCAUUCCAACUUUCUUAACUAAUUUAUCUAUUUCAAUAAAAUCUUUAUUAGCAAACAUUUCACUAUUGGCUGAAUUUGUUAAUGCAUAUUCUAUGGCAUACGUUAUGCUAUAUGGAUAAGAUCUAUCAUGCAUUAUAUCAAAGUAUUUAAAAUUACGGCAUAAGGUUAAUUUAUUUAUAUUUCUAUCUCUAAAACUUAUAGAAUAUAUGGAAUAUAUCUUAAAUAUCAAUUUUUUUUUUAUAACUCAAGUUCUUUAUAUUAUUCCAAGGAGUGCAUGUUUUCGAUCUUUUAUUCUAUUAUCAAGUACUGCUAAAUUUACAGGACUAUCUAUUUCUUUUCGAAAAUGAGCUUUUAUCAUGACUUGGAUUCUUCCAAUAUGGACAUAUCCAAUCUUAGGUCUGUCGCUAGAUUUUAUCUUUUAUAUCAGAUUUUAAUAAUAAUGGUAUAUUUUGUAUUUCCCCUAGCAUACCUAAUUUCAACAAGCUCUUCUCACACAGUAGCACUAGAAUACGUUAUAUUUUUUCUUUUAAUCAUGUUAGCAAUUCCUUGUGCUAACUUAUUAAUUGAAGUCAUGGAUGAUUCUAAUCCUUUUUUUUUAAUCUUAAGGUAUUGUUUUUUUUAUCAAAGAUUAAUUCUCUAUUAAAAGAACCUUAUUCAUUAAUUCUCUAUUAAAAGAACCUUAUUCUUCUAAUUCUUCAUCCUGAUAUAAAUCUUUAUUAUCUUGUUCUUCUAUACUCAUUCUGAAUCUGAACUACUUGAAGUUUCUUCAGAAAGAUAAUAUAUAUUAUCGUUUUCACUAAUAUCUUCUCUAUUUGUAAUUAAUUCUAAAUUGUUGAAAUCCUCAAACAUCUUUAUGUUUGCUUUCUUCUUUUUAGGACAUUCGUUUGCAUAAUGCCUAUCGUCAUUGCAUAACCAACAUUUAGAUGCAUUGGUCUUAGAUUUUCUUUUAAAUUUAUUUUUCUUGUAGAAUUUCUUCUUAUAUUUACUUUUGUUGUAAUAUUUCUUGUUGGUUUUAAAGAAUUUCUUCCUACGUUCAUAGAUUUUAUCUGAACAUCCAAAUCUUGGUGGAUCUUCUAACUUAGAACAACAUAAUCCUCGAUUUUGCUUUUUUAUAAGUCUUUUAUCUCUUAUUUCAGCACACCAUUCGCUGAUUCUAUUUCCAGUAAAUCUGAUCUUAUUUCCUAAGGUAUUAGUUUUCGUUGUAUCUUCAUAUUUCUUGUUAUAUUCUAACAUAAUCUUUUUCCCCUAUAGGUCUGGUAUCUUUAUAAAAUAUAGAUCAUUAUAAUAGCAUAUGAUAUUUUCAUGUUUAUCAAAUUCACAUUUAUAAUAUAAUUUUUCGAGGCUACAUGUGUAUUCUUCUAAAUAACAUAUAUUACAUAUUUUAAGCCUUAUUAGCUUUAUUACAUUUUCCAUCAUUUUCCUCUUUAUUUCCUGUUGAAAAUUAGUUUCCUAAUCUUCUCCUAAGAAUUCUUUCCUUAUUUCAUUUUCAAAUUUAUUUACGACUUGAUCCAAGCUUUCGUCAUGAUCAUUAUUUUCUCCAUAUAAUAUUUUAUUUUUGUCGGUAUCCUUUAAUUCCAUAAACCAAUGUGACACUAUUCCUAUAAACGAAGUUUUAAGAAAUCCUAUACCAUUAUUUCUAUCUAUUUUGUUAAAUGCAAAUGCCUUUUUCAUAGAUUUAACCCAAGCGGUAAUCGUUUAGUCUCUAUCUUUGACACAGUCUAAAUCCAACCAUACUCCAUCAUAGUUGAUUGGUCUGUCUCUGUAUUCUCUUGGAGUUUUAUAUAUAUUUUUUUAGGUUUGUUAACCCUAAAAUAUUGACCUUGUGGUUUUCAUGAGUUGGUAUUUCUUUCCUAGCAUAGGAACCUCUAUUACUAGAUUCCCUUUGUUCAAAGACCCUUGGCUUUGAUUCAUUCAUUUUUAAAUGUUCUAUUCUAUUUUCAAUAUCUUGUAAGUUAAUAAAUACAUCUUCUUCCUCUUCAGAUUCAUAUUCUUUAUCGGAUAUCUCUGGAUUAGAUAAUUCUUUUAAUCCAUUAUCUAUAUUUUCACUUAACAUCCUUAAACUUAUUAAUUUUUAUCUUCAUUUAUUUUGUUAAAUAUUGGUCUUGAUAUUGCUACCAUUUUUUUAUUUUUCUUUUCAUCGUAGUAAAUUAUGGUAUCUUCUAAAAUUUUAUUUUUUUCUUGAAUUACCAUGAGUAGUUCUUCCAUAUUGUUACUAAUCUUUUGUACUUCAAUCCUUUUGUAAUUUUCCAUUUAUACUUAUUGCAAACUUGUUACCAAGUUGUUCAAUGAUUUUUUCAAUUUUAUAUAAUUGAAUUUCUAUCUUAUUUAAUUUAUCUUCAAUUAAAUUUUUGUUCAUGACAUUAAAGAUUUCUUGUCUGAAUCUAAUCUUAAUCUUCAAUUUUGAAGUCUUUUAUUAAUUGUUUGACUGAAUCAAAUUCUUCACUUAUUUAAUCUCCUAACAUUUUAAUUUAUCUUAUAUUUUGAGCAUUAAAACUUUUAAUUUCAAGUAUUUCAUUUGUACUUUCUAUAUCAUUUAUGGUUAAAUUAUGAUUUCCUAAUUUAUUUAAUAAACAUAGUGAAAUCCAGUUUAACUGAUUAUUUCCCCAAAAAUCAGAAUCAUUUACCAAAUUAAAUGGUUGAAAUCUUCUAUAAGUAAAUUCUCUAUGCCUACAACUAGACGGUGGAAAUUUAUAGGUUUCUAUGUUUUGUGAAAUUAUCAAUGGUUCUAUAAUUUAUUCAUAGUACCAUCUGCAUAAUAUUUCAUUAUAUGCUAACAAGUAUUUGUGACAUAUAAUAUCUCUUAUAUCGUUAGGAAUAUUGUUUUCUUCUAAUCCUUUAUAUAUAUAGCAAUAUACAUAAUAAAAUUUUUAUAUCCUAUCAGCAUGUUACUAGAAGGAUAGUAUUUACUUCUAAUCCUUUUAUUAUUCCAAUUGUAUUCAUUUCUUUGCUUAAUAGUUAAAAAUAUAUUAUAAUCAAUCACAAGUUCGUCUGUAUAAUUCUCAACAGAAUUAAUAUUCCAUUUUUUUUCAUGAAAAAUUAUUUCUAUAAACCUCUCUCCUAGUUCUCAAUAGGAGAAUAUGAUCUAUGUUUAAAUUUCUAUUCUUUAUUAUUAUGAGUUCUCCAAUUCUAAAUUCAUGAACUUGGGAUAAAUACAAUUGUUCUAAUUGUUUAUCAUCCAAUCUAUUUUGUUUUGAAUAAUAAUAUUGUGUAUGUUUAGUUAUGUUAUCCUUAAUUGUAUUACUAUCUAUCAUUAGAUUCUAUCCUCCAUUAUUUAUAAAAUAAACAAUCGUUUCUUCCAUUUUUAUAUUUUGAACCUAAAACUUGCCUUUGAUACCAAUUUUGCGAAUAUUUUUCAACCCAAAAUUCAAAUAAGGAUGUAAAUGAUUAAUUUUUAAAACUUUAUGAAUGCUUUGUAAUUUUGUUUUAUUAAAAGACAGUUUUAUGCAAAGUAUUGUGCAAUCUUUUGGAAGAUUGUCUUUUUCCGAAGUUAAAAGUAAUUCAUCAAUAUUUGACAUGUCAAACGCAGAAAUUAAAAGUAAUUCAUCAACAUUUGUCGUGUCAAAUUUACUUUAUGGAGGAGAAAUUGUAGGAACCAAUUUUAUGGGAUAGAAAAUUCUAGAAAUCCAAUCGAAAGAUAUUUAAUAAAUAAUUUUGUAGUAGAUUAUGUUAAAUAUAAUAUAUAAUAAAUCCAUGAGUUGUCACUCAUGACAAUUCAAUUAUUUAGUUUUGACUAACAAUAUUAUUACGUAUAACGUUAAUAUAACAUAGCAUGAGCCAUUUUAUAGUAUUAUUUUAACUGAAUUGAAAUUCUCGAAAUAAAAAAUUGAAAAGAAUGAACCUGGUGGUUGUUGUGAACCAAAAACAAGCCAGUAUUAUGCUUACAUCAUUCCAUUCUACAGUAAAGGUUAUUUAUAAUCAUAAUUAUAGCACCAAAUUAAUUGUAUUAUUAUAAGAGGUUAUAACUUAAUAGAUGUGUAAUUAUAAAAAUUAUUAUUUUAACUUAAUUAUUUUUAGUGCCAGUGAUAUGGAGACCAAAUAUGCACUAUAUUGAUAAUUAAUUAAUGUAGCAUGUCAAAUUCAAUUUAUAGACAAUAAUGAAAGAGAUACACAUAUUUAAAAAAACUAGUACGUAUAUUAUGUAAUAUUGGAAUUAUGCAAAUUUAUCUUGAAAGUUUAAAGAAUAAAUCAUUGUCCUAAAUAAUUUUAGAAAGUUAUUUUACUCCAUCUUAAACCUUUAAUACAACAUGGCAUUUUUUUUUAACAAUAUACCAAUAAUUAUUAUUAUAUAAAGGCAAAUUUCUUAAAAUCAUAUUUAAAAAAAUUAUAAUUCAUUAUAAUAUAGAGUUUAUUCUUAUUUAUAACUACUAGGCUUAAUAAUAGAACGAGUUGUACCCGAGCCAUGCCAAGACCUAGCCCAACCCUAUGACUAGAAUGAAGGGAUCUUUUUAUCAUUAUAAUAACUACCUUUCAUCAAUUUUUUUUUUAAAACUAUAUAAAGAUUAUUCUUACAUGAAGUAACAAUACAAGGCCCUCAUUAAGAAAUGAACCUGGACGACAUUAGGGCCUUUAUCCACAAACAAAAUUUCAAAACAUACUUAAAAAAAAAAAUCCAACACAUCCGUUAAGUACAACUUUAACAUGGUCACAUGAAAUUUGUGGGGUUAAUUUAUUUAAUUGUAUGCACCCGUUUGGUUUCAUUGAUCUCAUGGCUCAGGUUGAUAGUUAUUAAGUUAUGAGUCAUGAUUACCUAAAAUUUAUUUGGUUAUCCGUUAUUCUAAUGUUGUAUUUAAACCAUAAAACUAGAGAUAACAAAAUUUAUGAGAAGUUUUGUCUUAUCACAAUGUCUAUUACUGAAGAACGUAGUCCUCUUGAAUAACCAUGAUAAUUUAUUUAAUUUCUUUUGCUCUAUCUUAAACAUAUUAUAAUUGUAGUCAAAGUUUUGAUAGUAAAAAUAUAAAUAAAUAGAUAAAACAAAUGUGUCUAUUUCCAUAACUAAAGGGGUGUAUAUAUACAUUUGGACCAACCGAUAAAAUUUAGAUCAUGACAUUAGGUGAAAAUAAUCUUAUUUUAUUUUCUUUAGAUUAUGUUGGAGUUGUAACUUGCAAUCGAACAAUUCUCGAUUGAUUUAACAAAUGACCUUAAGGCCAUGUUUGCUUGGGGUAGAGAAGUGGGGAGAGGAAAAGAAUUUGAUUUCUUUUAUACUUUCCAUUGUUUGGUUAGACUAAAUUUAAUGGAAUUGAAUUUCCAUCAAUUUGAAGAAUUUGUAUUCCUUAUCAAUGAAUAAGGAUUUCAAAUUCCUUAUCUAUUUAAACACAAAAAUUCUAAUAUUAUCCUCUAAACAAAAUCAAUUUUAAAUAAAUGAAAGUAAAAAUAAUUUAUAUUUAUUUUCUUAAAUUAAUAGAAUAAACUUAUUUGAAAAAAGAAAAAACAGUAAAGGGACUCCCCAAAAAGUCACCGGAGUUUCGCCGGAGACGCGCUUUACCAUCAAAACCGGUACCGAUGGAAUCCUUAUGAGUCAAUCUACAACUCUAUGGGGUUAGAAAUGCUAAUAUACAUUGUUAUUUACCUCAAGUCUUAUUUAAAUGUUUGGGAAAAUUUUAACUCUCAUAUUUCCAACUAUAUAGUGUAUUUUCUUCAAAAUUAACAUUUCUAAUGAGUAAAUCAUCCAUUUAUGAUCAUUAUUAUGCAUUUAACGCGAUGAAAAAUGGAGGUCAAUGAUGGUCAAUGGCACCGGUCAAUGGUGGUUAAUGGAGGUCAACGUGGCAGCUGUCCAUGGCCAAAUGCUGUCAUUUUUAAAAAAAAUAAAAUUUUUUAUUUAAUUAGGUAAUUUUUAGAUUAAAUUAAUUCAUAAUUUUAUUAUGUUUUAAUUUAUUAACAAUAUUAACAUUAAAGAUAGUGGGUAUAUAUUUGUCCAAAUAAAAAAUAUGUAAUUUCUUUUCCUUUUAAAUUUUAUGUGAAACCAAACAAUAACAAUUAAUUUUUGUACUCUUUUCCUCUCACCACCUCUCCAUUCCUCUUUUUUUUUUUUUUUUUCUCCUCUCCUCUCCUCCCAUUUCUUAAAACCAAACACCUCCUUCUUAGGAGGUGUUUGGUUUUGUAAAAUGAAAAAUUCUAUAAAUAUGAUUUUGUUGAAGCCUUAAAUAAACCAUACAGUCUGUGCCGCGUAGAAUGGGAUACAGAAUUUUGUAUUUAGCUUGCAUGCAAAAUGCAACAUGCUUACGUGUGUCUAAUUUUCUAAAUAUCUCAUCCAUGCGGCAGCUAGCUUAGCCUUUUUAUAUUGAAUAAUUGAUCAUACAAGUGUAGUUUGUUAGUUUUACGCAACCCACGUAAAUCAAUUUUAUUACGCAAGAAUUAUUGAGAAAUCGCAAAUUAAGUUGAACUGGUCCAUGGUCAGAUGGUCUCGUCUCGUCUCGUCUCACCACUUGGUAUUGAUGCCAUGGGAAAAGAGUAGUUGGUUACUUGAUUUUUUAGACUUGGGGUGGCAUUGAAAAAGAUUGUUGAAAAGGAAUCGAGUGAAUCAAAUCGAAUUAGUUUGUCUUUCUGUACAAUACAUCCCCCAUUAUCUAGCUUAUUCAGUCUUGAGAAUUAUUAUCUGAUUUUGAUCCCCCAUUUAAACUUUUUGCCAAGACUAUCCUAGAAAUUGAUUUGUUUAUCAUUGCUUCUUGGUCCUUACGGUCUUUUAUGAAUCACAAUCAAUUUAAUCAUACAUAAAAAUACGGGUACAAGCUGGUUAGCUUACACGCUUCCUAUAUAAGAAAGGUACGGGAAUCAGAUUCAAAAUAUCCAUCCAUUCAUAAUUUAAAAAAAAAAAAAAAAAACUCCGGAAUUGAACUGAACGAGUUUCAGACAUGGCAUCGAAAUCCAAGAUUCUAUCCAUCGGCGGGACAGGGUAUAUCGGUAAAUUCAUCGUGGAAGCAAGCGUUAAAGCUGGUCACCAGACACCAGACGUUCGUGCUCGUGAGAGAAUCCACACUCUCUGAUCCCUCCAAAUCUCAACUCCUCGACCACUUCAAAAACCUCGGCGUCAAUUUCGUUAUCGUGAGUUAUCAUUUUUUUAUUUUUUUAAUUCCAUUAUUUUGACCCGUGGCAGUGUAGUAUCUACUUGAAAGACUUAGUAUUUUUAUUUUAUUUUAUUUUAUUGGGUGCCGUUAUUAUUAUGCAGGGAGAUGUUUUGAAUCAGGAGAGUUUGGUUAAGGCGAUAAAACAAGUGGACGUGGUGAUAUCAACAGUUGGUCACACUUUAAUAGCCGAUCAGGUCAAGAUUAUUGCUGCCAUUAAAGAAGCCGGCAACGUUAAGGUAUGACAUAAUUAUAAAUAUCUUGGAUCAGGAUUGUGCACUUGCGCACACGUGGUGAUUUAUUAUUGGCGUGGAGCUCGUUGUAGACUAGAGCUCCCUGUUCCGCCAAUAAACACCCGCUACAUGCACAAUUGCGCCCUCAAGAUAAUUUAAUUAACUAAUUAAUUAUAAACACCUAUGGCGUGAAUGCAACUAAAAGUAGCUGAUGUUUGUAAAUUAUUUAUUAUUCAGAGAUUCUUCCCGUCGGAAUUUGGGAUUGAUGAUGAUCGAAUCCAGGGCGCCGUAGAGCCAGCAAAAUCAACGUAUGUCGUAAAGGCGAAAAUCCGCCGAGCCGUUGAGGCAGAAGGCAUUCCGUAUACUUAUGUAGCAUCGUACUGUUUGAAUGGCCACUUCCUUCCCAAUUUGUCGCAGCCUGAGGCCACUGCCCCCCCUAGGGAUAAGGUCGUCAUCUUAGGUGAUGGAAAUCCAAAAGGUAAAAUAAAUUAAUUAAGCUCAUUGUUUUUAAUAAGAUUGUUGAAAAUAACCAUGUUUAAGGCUCCGUUUGUUUGGUAUAUGUUGCGAUGUUAGUGUUAUGGCCUAUUGUAGAAUGGAUGGUCUAGCAACUUAGUGUCUAUUUGGUACUGUUGUUGGAGAUUUUAAGAUAGAGUUUUAAGUGAUUACCAGAUACUGAACUGCCAUAUCAUGGCUGCCACACAACAAUUUCAAACAGAGCCUAAAUAACUUCAUUGCAAAAUAGUUAAAUGAAUCUAACUUAGUUUGGUCAUUUGAUUUUCAGCUGUUUAUAACAAGGAAGAUGAUGUUGCAACCUUCACAAUCAAAGCGGUUGACGAUCCGAGAACCUUGAACAAAAACCUUUACAUUCAGCCUCCCGGCAAUAUUUAUUCGUUCAAUGAUCUUGUGUCUCUGUGGGAGAGAAAGAUUGGCAAAACCCUCGAAAGGGAGUAUGUUUCAGAAGAGCAGCUCCUAAAGAAUAUUCAAGGCUAGUUAAAACUCUCACUUCUAAAUGUUAUUAAAGAAAGCCGCGAAUUUUUGCCUUAUUGAUCCUGUCUUCUCCAAAAUGUUGCAGAAGCUGCACCUCCACUCGGGAGGUUGUUAUCAAUUUAUCACUCUGCUUUCGUGGAGGGAGUUCAAACGGACUUCAAGAUUGAACCAUCGUUUGGAGUUGAAGCCUCGCAGCUUUAUCCUGAUGUCAAGUACACUACAGUUGAUGAGUACCUCAAUCAGUUUGUGUAACCCUUCUCUGCUUCCAGCUGCAGCUUGCAGGAUCUUGGACUCUGGGUAAAUAAAUAAUGGGCUUGUUGCAAUCUUUGGUUUUUAUAUGUAAAAAUUAUGGUUGUUGGCCUUACUUUCUUCUGGUUGUCAAUGGAAUUUGUAAGACCAUUUUAUGUUUGCUAUGUCAGUGAUCAAAUGAAGUAGGCCAUGUACUUGAUCUGAGAAUAAUUAUAAAGCCAACAUGGUCAGGUGAGUGCGUCUGUGGGGCUUUUAUUAGGGUGCGUGUGUGAGGCUUCUGAGGGGCUUGUGAUAUGGGGUCUACAGCCCCUAAUGGGCACGCGACUGCGUGCACUAAAUGAAGUUAUUAUAAAAAUAAUUAUAGAGUCACCAAGGCAAAAAUUAAAAGUAAUUUGCCAAUAAAAAUAGUUAAAAGUAAUAAAAAGUAGGUAUUAUAUUUCAAAAAUCAAUUUUUCAUUAAUGUUUAUAAGAUUAAAUUUGUUCUUAUCUUUCCUUAAUAAACACAAAAAUUUAUCGUUUUGGACUAAUUAAAAUUUUAAAACUAGCUAACAAGCAAACCGCCAUUAAUUUUUUUUUUUCCAUUUCUUUAAUCAUUCUUUUUUCUCUUUUUGACCUUUUUCUUUUUCUUUUCUUCAGUCCUUAUUUUUCUUUUCUUUUUUGGUUUUCCUCUAAACUCUUUAAGAAAGGCUGCCAAGCCUUGAAAAUAUCUCAAAAAAUAAGAUUUUCUUUCUUAAGAUUAACAUUUUAACCACAAAAAUAAAACUCUAGUCCAAACAUUGAGCACUUACAAAUCAAACGAUAAAAACCUCUUAUUAGUACAUUAACCGUAAAAUAAAAAAGAAUUAUCACAAAUAUUGAAAUGUUGUUGUUUGAUGCUUGAGAUUCUUGAAAUGUAUGCAGAAUUCCGACAAUAUUUUGUUGAAGCAACUCUCGGAAACUUGUUUGUUGAGAUUGAUGAAGAGUCCAUGGCAAGUAACCAGGCAUAUUGCAAUCCUUGUAAUUAUUCUGACCGAGAACAAUAAAACAAAAAGUGAAAACUGAAGAAAAUGAUAAGAAAACAAUAGAAUAAUAAUAUUAAAAACUCGCUAAUCUUGCCCAAUUUUUUUUUUUUUUGGAUAAUGUUCAGCGUAUACUAGAAUCUUUUAGAGCAGAAGCAAAACAGCAACAACUUUUCAAGAAAAGAAAAAAAAAAAGAAUUAUUAAAGAAAAUGGAAAAAAGAAUUAACGGCAGUUUAUUUGAUAGCUUUUAGAUAGCCAAAACCGGUGAGUUUUUGUGUUUUAAUAAGGAUAGUUAGGAAUAAAUUUAAUCCUCUCUAUAGAAUCAUUUAGUUACUAUGUGUCAAAAUCUCCUGUAAAGAAUAGGAAAAAUUAAAUUAGAAGAGGAUCCAAAUCAGGACUUGACUAGCUUACAGAAUCUGUAAGCUACGGACUGCAGCAUCAGCCGUUGGAUGUGGUUGGAUGUGGAGUGAGAAAUUAAACAAUAGAAGAUCGGAUGGUGGGAUGACGGGAGAUGUUUGUUACAGAAUCUGUACCAUAGACAGGUCCUCCAAAUCAUCAACAUCUUGGAAUAAACAAAAGAAUCUAAACAAAAGAAACUCGUUUUGCGUGUGAACCAGUUCAAGAUAAAGAGCAGACUAUUGGAAAGAGACAAAUACUACAAGAAUAACAAAACAUUCUACAGUUACUACAUAAGCCUGCAACAAUUAAUUAUUAACUCAAGAUUUAUUACACUUUUUCUUUAAUUUGACAAAGAAACCAAAAAUGAAAUAAAAUUGACAACAGCAAUGAUAUGCUUACAACAAUGAGUAUGAAACUUAGUACAACAAGGACCUUUUUGCUAAUUUUUUCAAAUUUUUAUGAUAUUUUAGAAUUUAUGGGUUUUAUUGAUUUUGAUAAAUUGGAGCAUUUCUCCAUUCAUCUUUUCUGCAUCUAUCCCUAAAUUUCUUAUCUUUGUAAAGUUUUAACUAUGUCUUUGUAAAGUUCUAAAUGAUUAUCUCGUUCAUAGAGAUCUAUAGUUAAAUUAAUUCUUGUAUUUAUAAUCAUUUGUCUCCUUUGAGACAUAGACCAAAUUUUUUCUUCUAACAUUCCUAUGUAUAUUCCUAAGCUAUAUUUCCAGCUUAGGUACAUCUUAUCUAGGAUUUCACAAAUAAAUUGUAAUUUGAGAUCUGCAUCUUGAAUCAACAUCACCAUAUUAUUAUUAUUAUUAUUAUUAUUAUUAUUAUCCAUUGUUUUAUACUCGAUUUUGGGUUCUAUUACUAGUCGCACUUGUCUUGGAUUAUUUCAAGGCUAGAUAGAAUUGAUUCUAUUAAUGCUAUCCUGUUUCCUUCUUCAAAUGAAUCGAAUAUUUUUGGAUCAAUAAUUCUUUUCAUUUCUUCAUACAAGUGUUUGCUUGUAAUUAAUCUAGUUUUAACUAUGGAAAUUGUAUAAGCAACUUGAUAUUCUUGACUAAAGUCUAGAUGAUCAAUUGCGUCUAGAAAUUUAUUAACAGAUCUUUCCAUUUUUAUGAAAUUGAGUUACUUUUAUCACUUCCUAUCUUAUAACAUUUCAGAAUACAAACAAGGCCCAACAUGCUUCCAUUUGUUGCUAAAAUAAAAGAAUAGAGUUCAAGAUUACUAACCAGUGUACAUUUCUCGGAAUUCUAAGAUAGAUUCACUAAUUGCCUCCAACCAUAGAGAGGUCUAUGGUUAACUCCGCCAUAGCUCCACACAUCAUAUAAGAUCACUUCAACGACUGUUACAUAGGCCCAACGCAACAUAUAGCAAACGGGCCUAAAAGAAUAUGUCUAAGUGAUUUGCUUACAGCUGUCUCUGGAAGAGUGCUUAGUAGUAGAAAAUCUUCUUCCUUUAGCACAAGUAUUGGCAUGUAAGGUUCUUGGUUAUUUUCUAAGAGUAUAUAAGAUAUCUGGAAGAUGACAAUUUCGCUCAAAAGAGUUUUAUUUAUUUCAUCAUUGAAAUUAUUUACAGAGGAUGGUUACAGAGAAUACAGGUGUAGGUGUAGGUGUAGGUGUAGGUGUAGGUGUAGGUGAAGGUUAGGCAUGUGAUGUCCUUCCCUUCUUACAUGUUUCUAUUUAUAAUCUUAAAUAGAUAAGGUUAUCUCUUUUACAUGACACUUGUUUAAUUCUCUUGGUGGAUUGUGGAUUCUUUCCUGAUAAGGUGACCCUUCUUCUUUUUAUCAUUAAAGACAGUGGUUGUCUUCUUUUCCUGGUGGUAGACAGCCUUUAUCUGGUUGUAGUGUGCUUUAUCUUUUUGGAAUCUUUCUUUUUGAAUUAUUAAUGCUUUUAGGAUAGCACCUUUUAUCUUUUCCAAUGGUUCCUGUCACAUGCCAAGUAUCAAAUCUUCCUCUAGUGACAUGUCUUCCCCACUAGAAUCCUUUUUUGAUCCUUCGUAGCAGUAGCCACAUGAUGACUGAUGUUUUAGCACCUUGCAUACCUCGUGAUGUGUCAGUAAGCUGGAUUCCACGAGAUUUUCAUAUAUUGCCUUUUUCUUUUUUGAUAUGGCCUGUCUGGCUAAAAUGCUUUCUUUUCUACUUAUAGAAAAGAUUAUAUGCUCCUUUGUGGCUUCGUGGAGCCAUAUUUUUUCCUCACUUAUCCUCUCAAGAGAUUCAUAGAGGACUUUCAUUCCUACGGCUCUUUUGCUGGUGAGAGCUUUGGGUUCGAAAAAUUCAGGAUCAUAAUCAUUAUAGACUUGAUCUAUAUCAAUAGUUGGACUAACUUUUUGCUGCUAAUUCUAACUUAAAUCAUGUGCUGUGCUACCACUUGUUUUCACCGUAUUAAGGGCAAGCAGUGAGGAUCUUGAUAAAAAUUAGUUCUUUUGUUUUGGAUAUCCUUUUGUGGUCAUUAACAGCCUCUGUAUUUUUUUCUAGGAGCUCUUUUAUUUUCCUACAAUCAUCACGGACAUAAACAAGGUUAAGAAAACCGUAUUCAAACAUGUCUUUUAUCAAUUUUGGAUAAGCUCCUAGCACAAAUUUUAUCCUUGGGUAUAACCCUGAAUGAUAUGGUAUUAUAGUCUGGUUAUGAUGAAUCACAUAAGUUAUUUUACCAAUUCUUUUAUAAUUAUAAGCGUUGUCGCUUCCUAAUGGAUUUUUAACCAUAGGAACAGACUGUCCGCUUUUAUUAUAUUGGGGCCUUAAGCUCACUGAAGACCUUUGAGAUUCUUCUUUCUUCAUAUAUUAUUCUUUGAGAUCAUUGAUUGUGAGAAAUUUCUCUAGAUGUGUGACCUUUGAGUUCUGUGAAGAACUCUGGGCAAUCUGAUCCUUAGUUUGAUCCUUAAAAUGGACCUUUUUUUAGCAUAUUACUAAUAGAUUGUUAUGAAAUUUGGACUUCUGGAUGAUUUUGCAAACUUUUCUAUAGGCAAAGUUUGCUCAAUUCUUCAUGGGCAUCAUCUAUCAUGGCAAGCCUAUUAUAAAUUAUACCAUUGCCUUUGAGAAGCAAUUCUUGACCUUCAGAGCACAUUAUUAUGCCCUUAAUUAUUUUGGAAAGACCCUUCUCCAUUGUAUUCUCGGCUAAGAAAAUUUGCAAUAGAAUUGUUAGAUCCUUUAAUAUAUUCAAUUUCAAAAUCAUAUUCAGCAAAAAAACCGUUGCCAUUUAAUUAAUCUUUUAUAUUAAGGGAGAUUAGGCAAUUUAUUAAAUAUAAAUCCUUUAACUCGAGUGUUAUCAGAUCUUACCUUGAAUUUCUUUGGUAACAAAAAAAAGUAAAUUUAGCUAUUCCAUUUUUAAUAGUUAACAGUUCAUUUUCAUUACUAUGAUAAUUCUUCUAUGCGGGUUUGAAUGUUCUGGUGGCAUAUCUACAAAUCUUUUCUUGAUCUGUUUUUAAGACUACACCCCAGUAAUUAUCUGAAGCAUCGGUCUCAAGAAUUAAAUUAUCACUAGAAGUAGGGAAUCCUAAUCUUGGAAGAUUUUUACAUUUUUCUUUCGAUUUUUUUACUACUUUGGUAUGGAGAUCUUUCCAUGAUUUAGUAUUAUUCUUUUUUAAUAAUCCUUGUAAAGAUUGUCUUUCUUUAGCUAAGUUUUCUAUGAAACCUUCAGCAUAAUUAAGAUAUCCUAAAAAUAUUUGAAUUUGUUCUUUAGAUUCUAAUUUAUUUGGGAAUAGAUAUAUUUUCCAAAAAUAUGAGGUUGCAUCUCAAUUCCUGUUUCAUCUAUUAUUAACCCUAGAAAUUCUAUCUUGAGUUUCAUUAUUUCAGCUUUCUUUUUAGGGAGUAAUAUUCCAUGUUUCUUGCAUUUCUCUGCAAAAGAAACGAGAUGAUUAAUAAGAUAUAUCUUAUUAUCUGAAAAUAUAAAAAUAUCAUCUAAAUAAACAAUGUAGAAUUCAUGAAAUUCUUUGAAGAUUUGAUCCAUCCUUCUUUCAAAUAUUUUUGGUGCAUUUUUCAAUCCAAAAGGCAUUACAAUCCAUUCAUAUUAUCCUUGAGGUGUACUAAAGGCAGUAAGUGGUAUACUUUCUACUUUAAGUUUGAUAUGUCAAAAUCCAGAUUUGCAAUCAAACUUGCUAAAUGUCUUUUUAUCGGUCACGGAGAUAAUUAAUGUAUCUUUAUAAGGUAAAAAAUAUCCAUUGAAUUUGGUAUAUUUAUUUAAUUCUUUGUAGUUAAUAACCAUGCGAGCUUUUCCUCAUUUAAUUUCUACAUGAUUUCUAACCAUAAAGGCUGGACUACUAUGAGGACUUUUAGAUUUCAAAUAAUCUUAAGUUCUAAUAACUCUUCAAUUUUUUUUAUCAAAUUCUUGUCCAUGUUCUUGCCCAUCUCUCAUAGGCUUAACUCUUAUGAUACCAUUUAGAUCUGUUAAUUCGAUCUUAGCAUAUGUUUAAUCAAUUUCUCAUAAUUGAAUUGGGUUUUCACCAAAAUUUUUAUCAAGUUUUUCUAAAAUUUUUUCAUAGUCUAACAUGAUUUGAAUGAUUUUUAUAGUGUAAUCAACACACUGACUGUGUCGAAAAUGUAAUUUUUGAGUUGUGCGCCUAACAAGGUUAUAAAUUCUCGGGGUAGUAAUGGAAUGAUUACAUGGUGUUUUGAGAGUAAUGGCUUCAUUAGUCAUUAUAUAAAUGAAUUGACGAAGGAAAUUAACUCCUAAAAGUAUAUAUGUUCCCAUAUGAUCAUAAGACCAGAAUAUAGGGAUACUUAAGAUGUAAUCUUCGAUUUGGAUUAAAGUCUUAAUCCUACAAGUCCCUAAGGUGAUCUGUUCAUCAUUUGUUCCUUAUCCUUUUAAAGGCUUAUAAUCUUUCCAAUAUGGUUUUGGAUAAAUCCUAGAACUGGCAAAACUAACUCCUAAACCAGUAUCGAUUAAAGCAUAAAACCAUUCCAGUUUAUGUUUAUAAUAUGGUAUAAUCACUUUUAUAUAAAUUAUAAAAGGAUUAGACAUAUCUUGAUAUGGUUUGCUUAAUUCCUUCAAUUGUUAUACUUAUUUCUCUAUCUCCUGUACAAUAAGGAGAGAAAUUCUAAAGAAAGUUCAUCCCUAAUAAUAAAGGAUUUAUUUCUGUUUCAUAAUAUGGUUCUAUGAAAAAAGGAAAGAUGAAUUUUGUUCCUUUUAUUUUUAAUGGUAUUUUACAAUAUUUUCUUAAUGUCUUUCUUUCUCUAUUAAAUCCUACAUAAGUAUGAGGUUCAAUUAGAAUUUUUCUUUCUAAAUAUUUAAUCAUUUUAGCAUCUACAUAAGAUUUUGUAGCUCAUGUAUCAAGGAUAGCAAAAGUCUCGUGCCAUGAUUUUCCAUUAUUAUAGUCAAUCUUAAUUUUUAGAUUUUGAUUAUUUUUUCUAAUUGUGGCUAAUAUUUCAUGUGAUGGUGGUGUCACAAGAUGACUACAUCUAGUAAAACUUUGGGUUCCUCUGAAUUUUGGUUCUCUUUUGGGUAUAGAGAAUGAUCUUUUAUGUCUUAUAAUGAUUCUUCCUUCUGGAGUAUAUUCUAUAGAUUUAGUAGUAUUUCCUUUAAUCAGAGUAGGUUGACUACUUAGAUUCAUUUUCCAUUCUUAUGAUAAAUAUAUUUCUCUCUGGAUUUCAGGAUAUUUUAUAUUUCUAACUUUACUAAAUAAUUUAUCUAUUUCAAUAAAAUAUUUAUUAGCAAACAUUUCACUAUUUGCUGAAUUUGUUAAUGCAUAUUUUAUGGCAUACAUUAUGCUAUAUGGAUAAGACCCCUCAUGCAUUAUAUCAAAGUAUUUAAAAUCAUGACAUAAGGUUAAUGUUUUAUUUAUAUUUCUAUCCCUAAGACUUAUAGAAUAUUUAGGAUAUAUCUUAAAUAUCAAUUUUUUAUAACUCAAGUUUCCUUGUAUUAUUCUAGGGACUGCAUGUUUUCGAUCUUGUAUUCUAUUAUCUAGUACUGCUAAAAUUAUUGGACUAUCUAUUCCUUCCCGAAAAUGAGCUUUUAUCAUAAACUGAAUUCCUCCAAUAUGAUCAUAUCCAAUUUUGGGUCUAUUGCUAGAUUUUAUCUUACUGAUUUUAUCUUCUAUAUCAGUCUUUAAUAAUAAUGGUAUAUUUGUAUUUCCCUUAGCAUACCUAAUUUCAAUAUGUUCUUCUCACACAGUAGCACUGAAAUACAUAACAUUUUUUCUUUUAAUCAUGGUGGCAAUUCCUAGAGCUAACUUAUUGACUGAAGUCAAGGAUGAUUCUAAUCAUUUUUUUGUUAAUCUUGAGGUAUUGUUUUUUUUUUUUAUCAAAGAUUAAUUCUUUGUUAAAAGAACCUUGUUCUUCUAAUUCUUCAUCUUGAUAUAAAUGCUUAUUAUCUAAUUCUUCUAUACUCAUUCCAAAUAUGAUUUUGAAUCUGAGCUACUUAAAGUUUCUUCAGAAAGAUAAUAUAUGCUAUCACUUUCACUAAUACCUUCACUAUCUGUGAUUAAUUCUAAAUCAUUAAAAUCCUCAAACAUUUUUAUAUUUUCUUUUUUCUUUUUAGGACAUUCAUUUGUAUAAUGCCCUUCUUCAUUACAUAACCACCACUUGCAUUCUUUAACUACAUUGGUUUUAAAUCUUCUUUUAAAUUUAUUUUUCUUGUAGAAUUUCUUCUUAUAUUUAUUUUUCUUGUAAUAUUUCUUGUUGCCUUUAAAGAAUCUCUUCUUUUUGAAUUUAUUCCUAUAUUUAUAAGUUUUAUCUGAACAUCCAAAUCUUGGUGGAUCUUCUAACUUAGAGCAAAACAAUCCUUGAUUUAGCCUUUUCAUAAGUCUGUUAUCUCUUAUUUCAGCACACCAUUCACUCAUUCUAUUUCGAGCAAACCUAAUCUUAUUUCCUAAGGUAUCAGUCUCUGUUGUAUCUUCAUAUUUGUUGUUAUAUUCUAGCAUAAUCCUUUUCUCCCAUGGGUCUGGUAUCCUUAUAAAAUAUAGAUCUUAGUAAUAGCAUAUGCUACUUUCAUCUAAUUCACAUUUAUAAUAUAAUUCUUCAAAGCUACACGUGUAUUCUUCUAAAUAACAUAUAUUACAUAUUUCAAGCCUUGUUAGUUUUAUUACAUUUUCCAUCUUUUUUUCACUUUAUUUCUUAUUGAAAACCAGUUUCUCAAUCUUCUCCUAGGAAUUUUUUUCUUAUUUCAUUUUCAAAUCUAUUUAAAACUUGAUCCAAGCUUUCAUUUUGAUUAUUAUUUUCUCCAUACAAUAUUUUAUUUUUGUUAUUAUCGUUUAGUCCCAUAAACGAAUGUGACACUAUUCCUACAAAUGAAGUUUUAAGGAAUUCUAUACUAUUAUUCCUAUCUAUUUUGUUAAAUACAAAUGCCGUUUUCAUAGAUUUAACCCAAGCGAUAAUCGUUUUAUCUCUAUCUUUGACAUAGUCUAAAUCUAACCAUACUCCAUCAUGGUUGAUUGGUCUCUCUCUAUAUUUUCCUGGAGUUUUAUAAUUUUUUUAGGCUUGUUAACCCUAAAAUAUUGAUGUUGUGAUCUUUCAUGAGCUAGUAUUUCUUCUCUAGUAUAGGAAGCUCUAUUACUAGAUUCUCCUUGUUAAAAAACCGUUGGUUUUGAUUCAUUCAUUUUUAAUUGUUCUAUUCUAUUUUCAAUAUCUCAUAAGUUAAUGAGUACAUCCUCUUCCUCUUCGGAUUUAGAUUCUUCAUUGGAUAUUUCUGGAUUGUAUAAUUCUUUUAAUCCAUUGUCUACAUUUUCACUUAGCAUCCUUAAACUUAUUAAUUUUUUAUCUUAGUUUUUUGUUAAAUAUUGUCUAGAUAUUGCUAUCAUUUCUUUAUCUUUCUUUUCGUUGUAGUAAAUUAUGGUGUCUUGUAAGGUUUUAUUUUUUUUUCUUGAAUUACCAUGAGUAAUUCUUCCAUAUUGUUAUUUAUCUUUUGUAUUUCAAUCCUUUUGUAGUUUUCUAUGAAAAAUUAUUUCUAUACACCUCUCUCCUAAUUCUAAAUAGGAGAAUAGGAUCGAUGUUUAAAUUUCUAUUCUUUAUUAUUUUGAGUUCUCCAAUUCUAAAUUCAUGAGCUCUAGAUAAAUAAAAUUGUUCUAAUUGUUUAUCAUCUAAUAUCUCAAGUUUUGAAUAAUAAUAUUGUUUAUGUUUAGUUAUGUUAUCCUUUAUAGUAUUACUAUCUACCAUUAGAUUAUAUCCCCUAUUAUUAAUAAAAUAAACAAUUGUUUCUUCCAUUUUUAUAUUUUGAACCAAAAAUCUGGUUCUGAUACCGUUUUUGCAGACAAUUUUCAAUCCUAAGAUCCAAGUAAGGAUGUAAAUGAUUAAUCUUUAAAAUCUUAUGAAUAUUUUACAAUUUUGCUUUUUUAAAACACACAGUUUUAUGCUAGGUGUUGUGCAAUCUUUUGUAAAAAUUCAUGAACCAAUACUAUAUUGACUUCUCCUAAAAUGCAUAGGUUUGUUAUGAAAUUCUAAGUGUACAACCCAAAAAGUGGGGUGAAUUGGGUUUUUAAAAAUUUAAGCAAUUAUAACCACACAAAAAUUUCAAUUAAUGUCUUAUUUGAUUCAAUAACAAUAAUUUUAACAAUGAAUAAAGUAAAGAGAUGAGGGAGAAGAGAGCAAACAUGAGAUUUUUACAUGGUUCAGCAAAACCUGCCUACGUUGACGCCUCCAAGCUCACUAUGCUUGAAGAUUUCACUAUCCAAGCAUUACAACCCUAAGGCUUCAAGAUGCUUACAAUUGAUUUCUAAGGUUUCCAUGGACCUUUACAUCCAGAGGUUCUCUCAAACCUCUUAACCAAGUGUUUCUCACACUUACAACCACUUAAUUGUGAUAUUGAAAAAAAGUUACACAAAUUUUCCACUCACACAAUAUAUGUGUUUACAACUAAAAGCCUAGAGUGUGUUUCAAUGAAAGAAUAAAAACAUUUAAGCUCAAGACAGAUUAAACAUGCAAAAGUAAGCUCAAUGCCAAUUUUUGAAUUCGUUAUUGAUUGAAUAUGAUUAAUCCUUUUGAUAGUUGGAGCUGAAAACUAGCCGUUAUUGACUUUCUGCACAAGGUCGGAUCAUCGUUAAUACUUAUCGGACUGCUGUUUUGACUUGAUCAAGUUACCGUUAGGCGAAAAUCUAAAUUUUCGGAUCACCAUUUUCGAGACAUUGAAUUGUUGUUAGUUUCUAGUAACAUUGCGAGAAAAUAGUUGGCUUACCGUUUUCAAAAUGUCAUAUCGUCGUUAGUUUCCAAAUCCAUUCGAUGUCGGUUAGCCAUUUGCUACAUUAACUGCUACAUUGAAACUAUUUUUUAAAAUUAUAUUUUUGCCAUGCUUUCUAUAAUUAUACUGUAGCCCAAAUCUUCAUAAUACUUUACAAAUAGGUCCAUUUUCAGAGUUUCAAAACAUACUUUUUAUUUCCAAAACUUUAUGAAAUUAUACUAUAACCCAAAAAUAUAUAAAAUAUUUCAAAUAGGUUCAUUUCUAGAAUUUUAAAACAAUACUUGUUGAUUUCAAAGUUCUCAAAACUUUUUAAAUUUAGAGCAUUAACUUCAAAAUAACCAAUUUCAUAAAAUCAUUUUUUUCAUUAAGAUUUAUGAAAAAUGACUUGAGCUUUUAAAUGCUUAAGCAUGCAUAUAUUUAAUCAUACUAGCUUUACAAGAAAUGUAACAAGAGAAAUCACCUAAGCUAGUACCUCUAAUGCUUGUUCUUGACUUAGUGAGCUUUUUACCUUCGUCUAUUUGAGUGCCUUGAACUUGAUCACACACACACACACACACACACACACACACACACACACACACAUAUAUAUAUAUAUAUAUAUAUAUAUAUAUAUAUAUAUAUAUAUCAUUUUAUCCUUUUAUCCUUAACACGUGGUUUGUUAUUAUCAAAACCCAAGUUCGUACAACCGCUUAGGCCAACAUGUUACUCCCAAUCAAUUGACUUCUGACAUGACUACUUCCAAAAUGGCUAGUACCAAAAGGGAAUCCUUCUGGGAUGAGAAUUGAAAAACAUGCCUCUUCUAGCACUAAAAUUACUCCUUCCACCUAUAUUUCCACUAUAAUGUCCUUAAAAUCCUCCGGCAUAUCCACCUCUUUUAGUAUUGCCUCCUAUUUGUGCAUGAUAGUAAUUAAUUAUGCCAUAGUUAUUAUGGUUAGCAAAGUUAGCACAAUUUGCAUUGAAUAUGUGUUUUUCAUUAUGACUUUGUUCAAGUCUUGCCUCUUGAGUAAGCAAUAGAGCAUACGCACCAUCAUAAUAUAACUUGCUAGCAGUAAUAAAAGUAGAUAAAUGCAGAUGGCUAGCUCCAAAACUAUUGAGAAUUUGUUAAACAUAUCUUUAUCAGAAAUAGGACUACCAACACAUGUCAAUUUAUCUGCUAUUUAUUUAAUCUUUAAGCAAUACUCUUCUAUGCUUAGUGACUUUUUUUCUCAAAGCAUUCAUCUCAUAUCUCAUUUGAAGAAUCCUACCCUCAUAAUGUUGCCUAAACUUUUUCUGUAAUGUUUUUCAUACAUCAAGUAAGGUGUUAUAAGAAUGAACAAGACCGAGAAUACCUUCAGUGAUAGAGCUGAGUAACUAGCUAAGUAAUGUGUGAUCUUGAGAUCUCCAAACAAUGAACUCAGGAUUUUCAAUCUGUUAAGUAGAUGCAGCAACUGCUCUAGCAUAGCUGAUGAAUCAAUGAAUUGAUUUGGUGCUUCAUUUUCUCUAGUUAUGUAUCCUUCGGUUUCCUCUUAUAAAAGCUAGAACUUGAUUUUGCCACAGCAUGUAAUUUGAUCAAUCGAAUGUGAUUGGAGUGAUGAAACAGAAUGUUGUUUGCAUUGAUUGAUUUGUAGAGAUUGCAAUUGAAUUUGUGCUUACAUUGCUUGAGCUUGCCAUUUUGGCUCAGAUACCAUGAAUAAAUUAUUGGAAGUUGAGUUAUAGUUGCUGUUUAACAGCUGAGAAAAUAGAGGAAAAUUCUCUGGAAAUUCUAAAUGUUUCCUAUUGAGCAAACGAAAGAUUAACAUACUAUAUAUAUACAAGUUUCUAAAUUGUUUCUAGCUAAUUUACAGUACAGCUAAUCAAUAGAUUUGAUCCAAAGUAAAACUAAUUAGUUUCACACAUAAGGAGCACGUGAAUCCAUCAUCGUUGCAUAAUCGAACAUGUUGACUUAGCUGCUGACUUGGCAUUGACAGCUGAUUUGCUUCUUUUUUGUAACUCUGGAUAGUGUGCUUUCUUCACAAGUUUCCCCAAAUCUCCAUUAUGUACAGCUUCUGCAAAAAUUUCCUAACCAAACCAUUUAUUUGUAAUUUCCUCUUGUGUUGGCCCUAUGCCAUCAUCAAGUGGUACCGUGAGAGGAUUUCCAUCUAGAUUACCCUGAUCUUUGUCUGAAUCAUAACUAGUAUGCAUAGUGUUUUCAUCCUCAUCACCCUGCGCAGCCAAAACAAAAUGCUUAACAUUACAUAUACAGUAAAACCUCUCUAUAGUCAUAUUGUUGGGAUUAAACUAAUUUUAUUAAUAUGAAGAUGUUAUAAACUUAAUGGAAAUUCAGUGACAAAUCUAUUGAUUAGCUGUGCUACUUUGAUAAUUAAUUAAUGAAGCAUGUCAAAUCUAAUGCAUUGACAUUGAUAAAAGAGGUAAACAUAUAAUUUAAAAAACUAGUACUUAUAUCUAUCAUCUGUGUAGUAUUGGGAACAUGCAAAGUCUUCUUAUUGAAAAUCUAAAGAAUAAAUUAUUAUCCAAAAUAAUUUCAGAAAAAUAUUAUAUUUCAUCUUAAAUCUUUCAUGUAACAUAGCAAAUUUUUUUUUUUUUUGCUCAAUAUACAUAUUAGUAAUACUGUGUGGAUGCGUGUUCCUUAAGAUAUGCUCUAUAAAAGUUGUUAACUUAUUACAAUGUGAAGUUUGUUCUUAUUUAUAAUUGGCUUAAAGCAGGAAUAAGAUUUUUUGUGACUAUUGGACGUUGUUCUUAUAAAAUGUAUCACUACAGAGAGAUUUUAUUAUAAUUCUAAACCGAGAAAAGAAAGUGUAAUCCUAAUAAAUCACCAUCGAUUAGAGCUAUAAUGAAUUAAGCUUUACAAAGAAGAAGAAGAAAGAUUACAAUGUGAAGGCAACAAGAAUCAUGACAAAGUGAGAAAAAGAGAGGCCACAUAAGCCCCAAGGGAAAUUGAGAUUUUAUAACACAGCCUAAUUGCAGAAAGCAUAGGCGAAAAACAGGUGCUUGAUUGCAAACAUGCACACGCGCGCGCGCACACACAAUUUGACCACAAAGACCGCAUACCUUUGAGAGUUGGUCCUCUGGGGCAUAGGCAUUUUUCGCACGUUUUCGUGCUUCCUCCUUUUAUGGCCACGUAGUUUUCGUAAGCUUGAUCAAGAAACUCCUCCAAUUGUUCAUCAUACCUAACACCAAAAAAAUGUCAUAAGAUCACAAAGGCAUAAGUUGAUAGAUAUAUUUGUCAAGAUAAUGCGACAGAAGAUAUAGGUAGAAAAGAAUUACUUUCUGCAUUCUUUAUCAGAGUCACUGUCACUGGACAAUUGCUCUUGAGUGUCUCUAUCGGGUCUCUCAUCUUCACAGCCCUCUGCAGUAGCAUUCUCAUCAUCAUCAUCAUAUUCAACAGCAGCAAGAUCUUUUUUACCCUAAACCGAUCAUUCAAGUUUAUAAAAGAAUGAGAUACUUGCCUUAGACCACACUUUUGAAUUGGAAAAAACUAAUAAAUCAAAAUUGCAACUAAUAUUGUCCUACCCAGCCAUUUUUCAUUUAUCCUGAUGUCAAGUACACUACAAUCGAUGAGUACCUCAGUCAGUUUGCGUAACCCUUCUCUGUUGAGUUGUAGCUUGCAGGAUAUUGGGAAAUAAAUAAUUGGCUUGUUGCCAUCUUUGGUUUGUAUCUGUAAACAUUAUGGUUGUUGGCCUUACCUUCUUUUGGUUUUCUAUGGAAUUUGUAGCACCAUAUUUUGUCCACUAUGUCAGUACACCAGUGAUUAAACAAAGUAGUCUCAUGUGCUUGAUCUAAAAAUAAUUAUAAAGUCACCAUGUGGUUGAUCUAAAGAUAAUUAUAAAGUCACAAACACAGAAAAAUUAAAAGUAAUUCAUAAACAUUUGUCAUGUGAAAUUUACUUAAUGGAAGAGAAAUUCUAGGAAACAACUUUAUGGUGAGAAAACUCUAAAAAUCAAACCGAAAGAUAUAUAAUAAAUAAUUUUAUAAGAAUUAGGCUAUGUUUCAAAUAAUAUCACAUAUAGUAAAUUUAUGAGUUGUCGCUCAUCAUAACUCAAUUGUUUCACAUAUUGUAAUUCUUUAAUUUUGAAUAACAACAUAUGUUUCAUAAGAUUUAAAAUGGUAUGACUCAUUUUAUAAUAUUUUUAACUGAAUUGAAAUUCUGCAACUAUAAAAAUUGAAAAGAAUGAACUUGGCGGUAUUACGCUUAUAGUAUUGUUUCUUAUGGUGAACCAAAAGCAAGCCAAAAUUACGCUUACAUCAUCUUACUCUACCGUAAAACUUAUUUAUAAUCAUAACGGUAACACUAAAUUAAUUUUAUUACUGUGAGAGUUUAAUAUUUAAUAGAGGUGUAGUUACAAAAAUUAUUAUUUUAACUUAAUUAUUUUUUGUGCAAGUGAUAUAGCGAUAAAAUAUGCACUAUAUUAAUAACUAAUUAAUACAGCAUGUCAAAUUCAAUGUACUAACAAUGAUGAAAAAGAUAGGCAUAGUUUGAAAAAAACUAGUACAUAUAUCUUUAUAGUGCUGGAAUUAUGUAAAAUCAUCUUGAAAGUCUAAAGAAUAAAUGAUUGUACAAAAUAAUUUUAGAAAAAUAUUUUACUUCAUCUUAAACCUUUAACAUAAUAAGGGAUAUAUUUUUUACAAUAUACCGAUAAUUAUUACUAUUAGAGGUAACUUUCUUAAAACCGGAUUUAAAAAAAUUAUAAUUUAUCAUAAUAUAGAGUUUAUUCUUAUUUAUAAUUAUUAGGCUUGAUAAUCGACUGGGUCGUGUUUGGGCCAUGCCAAGCUCUAGCCCAACUAGGGGUGGCAAAACGAAUAAACGAAUCGAAUUUGAAUCGAAUCGUAAACGAAUUGGGUCAAAAUUAUAUGGAUUCGGAUUCGAUUCGUUUAUUAAACGAAUUGAAAUUUCAGGAUUCAGAUUCGAUUCGGUUAUUAAACAAAUAUUCGGUUCAAUUCGUUUAAUUCGUUUAAUAGAAUUGAUAAACGAAUCGAAUCGAAUCCGGAUUCGUUUAUUAUUCGCUUAUCCUUUACGAAUCCAUAACGAAUCGAAUCGAAUCAGGAUUCGUUUACAAUUCAUUUAGAAAAAUAUAAUUAAUAAACAAAAUUAAGCAAAAAAAACACAAAUUUAAUAUCCCACAACAAAAUACAAAUAAUUCAAAUCAUAUUAUACAGUCAUCCAAAUACUAAAUUACAAAUCCUUAAUAUUACAAAUAACAAUAAUUCAAAUUCAAAUUAUAAAGAAAUGUAAUUUCUUUAAUUCUCUUCAUUUGUCUUUGUCGCCUUGAAAACAAAAAUCCUACACCAAAAAGUAAAUAAAAUGUUAUUAACAUGCUGCAAUAUUGAUAAUAGUCAUUGUAAAAUUUCAAAAAUCAAAUAUAUAGCAAAUUUGUAGCAUUUUCAAGAAAAUAAUAAUUAAACAAGAUAAAAACUUUACCUACCACACUCACACACUGUCAUUUGGAUCAUUGGCACUCUCUGCAGAUGGAGCACAAUUAGUGCUCAUGUUCAUAAUGUUUUGAGUAAGUUGGUCCACAGUGACAUCCAAAUUUUCUACAAUAAUUUUAUAAAAAUAAAUCUUAAUUAGAAACAAUUGCACAUAAUAUUAUAAAAGAAAAGUAAAUAAAUUUUAUGAGCAAGUUUUACCAAUCUCUCCAAACUUCCAAUCUCUAGUAGUAAUAAUUGCUUGAACUAUCUCUAGUAGUAAUAAUUACUUGAACUGUCUCUGGCUUCAAUACACUUCAAAAUUGAUCAAGAACUCAACCGCCAAACAACAACAAAACAACAGUAAAACAGCAACAAAAUAGCAGCAAAAUAGUAGUAAAACAACAACAAAAUAUCAGUAAAAUAGCAGUAAAACAACAACAAAAUAGUGGAAAAAUAACAAAAAAAAUGGUAGCGAAACAGCAGCCAAACAACAGCAGUAAAACAGCAGCGAAACAGCAGUAAAACGACAGUAAAAUAGCAGUAAAUCAGCAACAAAACAACAGCAAAACAGUAAUAAAACAGCAACAAAACAGCAACAAAACAACAGCAAAACGGUAAUAAAACAGCAAUAAAAGGCAAAUUUUCAGUGGUGUACCGUGAUGGUGGGUAGUUAGCGCGGCGGGAAGUGGUGCUGGGGAUGAAAACCUUCAAAUUUUAAAAAGCUUUCAAAUAAAUUUAAGGAUAAAAAAGUAAUUUAAUUAAACGAAUAAUAAACUAAUCGACCCGUAUUCGAUUGGUUUAUGACCGAUUUAUUAAACGAAUAAACGAAUCAAAAUUUUCAAACCUGCAUUCGAUUCGUUUAAUUAACGAAUCGAAUCGAAUUCACCCAUUUAUUAAACGAAUCAAUUUUUUCAAACUCAAACCCAUUUAAUUUGCAUCGAAUCGAAUCAAAUAAACGAAUCCUGACCCAUAUUGCCACCCCUGCCCAACCCUAUGAUUAAAAUGAAGGACUCUAAUACUAAAAAGCUUGACCCUUCAAACUAAAGAACAACCUGGCUUUAAUAAUUUUUUUAUAUUUUAUUUUUUUUUUUAAGAAUAUGACUCCUAUUCUUCAUUCUUUAGUAAUAUUAUUAUUAUUAUUAUUGUUCCUUUUUUUUGUUGGAUUUGUUUGUAAGGAAUUUAAUAAAUUAUUUUUUAUUUAACUUAACAACAAUAGAACGUUUAACAAUCUAACAAAAUUAAUAUAUUAACCAAGCAAUAGGUAAAUAAAUCAAAUACAAAAUAACAAAAUUAAUAUGAAAUAGAGAUAAAUAUCCCUAAAGUGUAGUUGUGACCAUCUAUGUGUAUGUGUGUUUAAUAAUAUUUUUAUUUUAAAAAUUAAUUUAAAGAUCAAGAGUUGAGUUAAAACAUUUUGGUAAAACUUUAACCCUAACCCAAAUGUAAUUAGGUCCUGAUUCCUUAAGCCCUAACCCAACGUUUAACCUUUCAAAUUCGAGUCAAAACCAUUAAAAUUAAGAUCGAAUCAAUCAAGUCGAGGGUCGGAUAAAACCUUUUUGUCAUCCUAAAAAUUACCCUAAAUUAAAAUCAAAAUUUUUUAAAAUUAUAUAAAAAUUAUUCUUAUACACAGUAACAAUAUACGACCCAACAAGAAAUGAACCUGGACGCAUUAGGGCUUUGAUCCACAAACAAACUUUCAAAACCCUCUUAGACCUCAAGAGCAUUUUAGUCCAUUUAAUCAAAAGUAAAAGUGCGGCUACCAGCUAACUCUCCGGAAUUGAACUGAACGAGUUUCAGAAAUGGCAUCGAAAAGCAAGAUUCUAUCCAUCGGCGGGACAGGGUAUAUCGGUAAAUUCAUCGUGGAAGCUAGCGUGAAAGCCGGCCACCCGACGUUCGUGCUCGUGAGGGAAUCCACAGUCUCUGGUCCUUCCAAAUCUCAGCUCCUCGACCACUUCAAAAACCUCGGCGUCAAUUUCCUUGUCGUGAGUUAUCAAUUUUUUUUUUCAUUUUUUUAAUUCCAAAUUUUGACACGUGGCGGUGUAGCCUCUACUUGAUAGACUUGGUUUUUUUUUUUAAUUUAAUUUUUGUGGGUGCUGUUAUUAUUAUGCAGGGAGAUGUUUUGAAUCACGAGAGUUUGGUGAAGGCGAUAAAACAAGUGGACGUGGUGAUAUCAACAGUUGGUCACACUUUAAUAGCCGAUCAGGUCAAGAUUAUUGCUGCCAUUAAAGAAGCCGGUAACGUUAAGGUAUGACAUAAUUAAUGUAAAUGUCUUAGAUUCCGAUCAGGAUUGUGCACUCGUGCACACGUGGUGAUUUAUUCUUCGUGUGGAGCUCGCUGUAGAGUAGAGCUCCCAGUUCCGCUAAUAAACACCCGUCACAUGCGCAAUUGCGCCUCAAAAUAAUUUAAUUAAUUAAUUAGGUAUAAACACCGAUGGCAUGAAAGCAAUUAAAAUUAGUUGAUGUUUAUAAAUUAUUUAUUACUCAGAGAUUCUUCCCAUCGGAAUUUGGAAAUGAUGUUGAUCGAGUCCAUGGCGCCGUGGAGCCAACAAAAUCGACGUAUGACGUAAAGGCGAACAUCCGCCGAGCCGUUGAGGCAGAAGGCAUUCCGUACACGUACGUAGAAUCUUAUUUUUUUGAUGGCUACUUCCUCCCUAAUUUGUUGCAGCCUGGGGCCACUGCCCCCCCUAGGGAUAAGGUUGUCAUCUUCGGCGAUGGAAAUCCAAAAGGUAACAUAAUUUAAUUAAGCUCUGUUUGUUUGGUAUGUAUUUCGGUGUUAAUGUUAUUGUCUGUUGUACAAUGGAUGGUCUUGCUUGGUACUGUUGUUGGAGAGCUGCAGUGUUUUGAUAAACACCUCUAUCCUUAGCUUUCAAGUUAAGUUGAUUUUAUACAACACUUGUUUAAUUAAAAACUUGUAAUAUUCUUACUACUUUGAUAAAAAAAAUAUUACGAUUAAAGUAUUAAUGGCACCAUAAUACGAAGUGAAUCUUAAGUGGUCAUUAUAGAUUUUAAGAUAGAGUUUUAAGUGAUUACCAGAUACUUUAGCUGCUGAACCGCCACAUCAUGGUUGCCACACAACAAUUUCAAACAGAGCCUAAAUAACUUCAUUGCAAAACAGUUAAAUGAAUCUAACUUAGUUUCGUCGUUUGAUUUUCAGCUGUUUUUAACAAGGAAGAUGAUAUUGGAACCUACACUAUCAAAGCGGUUGAUGAUCCGAGAACCUUGAACAAAAACUUUUACAUUCAGCCUCCCGGUAAUAUUUACUCAUUCAAUGAUCUUGUGUCUCUGUGGGAGAGAAAGAUUGGUAAAACCCUCGAAAA
Molecule: long non-coding RNA, 36166 nt
Filed under: Citrus maxima (pomelo)
Lineage: Eukaryota; Viridiplantae; Streptophyta; Magnoliopsida; Sapindales; Rutaceae
Description: long non-coding RNA (CMAX_LNC003344)
Source: RNAcentral